AGGAUGAACGCUGGCGGUCUGCUUAACACAUGCAAGUCGAACGGGCGUAGCAAUACGUUAGUGGCGGACGGGUGAGUAACGCGUGAGAAUCUACCUUCAGGACGGAGACAACAGUUGGAAACGACUGCUAACCCCCGAUGUACCGAAAGGGCAAAUAUUUAUAGCCUGAAGAAGAGCUCGCGUCCGAUUAGCUAGUUGGAGAGGUAAAAAGCUCACCAAGGCGACGAUCGGUAGCUGGUCUGAGAGGACGAUCAGCCACACUGGGACUGAGACACGGCCCAGACUCCUACGGGAGGCAGCAGUGGGGAAUUUUCCGCAAUGGGCGAAACCCUGACGCAGCAACGCCGCGUGGAGGAUGAAUAUCUUGGUAUGUAAACUCCUUUCGAUGGGGAAGAUAAUGACGGUACCCAUAGAAGAAGCCCCGGCUAACUUCGUGCCAGCAGCCGC
Molecule: ribosomal RNA, 447 nt
Filed under: uncultured bacterium
Lineage: Bacteria
Description: SSU rRNA
Rfam family: Bacterial small subunit ribosomal RNA
Source: RNAcentral